Astatotilapia calliptera (eastern happy) is the source of this 634-nucleotide long non-coding RNA. Lineage: Eukaryota; Metazoa; Chordata; Actinopteri; Cichliformes; Cichlidae. The record is from Ensembl.
AUUCUGUCAUGGUCUACGGUGGGUGGCUGGAGUUUCCAUUAGGCUCCUGAACUGACCUGGGAUCCGCCCCUGGGCAGGGCCAACUCCAGCUCCUGCACACCUGGAGCCUAUUGCAGGCUAUCAAGCCAGAGGGAUUUAAACCACACAUCGAUGUUCACUCACUGCCAGUUCGUCAUCAACCCAUUCGCUGUACCCACCCUGGCUCACUCCACCUCCGGACUCGGAAUACCUAGUGAUCAUUUUGGAAAUCCCUCUGUGCCUCACCUGCCUGCCCUCCUGCCAUCACACUCCAUCUGGAGCCCCGGAUCUCAGGUCAGCCUUUCCACGCCACUCAGCCUCCCCUGGAUCUUCAUCAUCCCCCUCUCAAACACUCCAGGUCCCUAACUGCAAAUGUGACUGUUCCCCACUCAGCUCCGUUCCACUUCUCAGGCCUCGUUCCCUCGCCCUAGCCACGUUCCCCUGGGCACGCCACACCAAGGCUCCACGUCUCGUCAUUUUCUGUCUUUGCCACGUUUCCCUUUUUUUUCUGUUCCCCUUGCACUUAACCGUAAUAAACUAUUAAAUCAUCUACCGUCUCCGCUCUGGGUUCCUGCACCUGGGUCCUAUUCAGUACCGGCCAUCCGUCGCCGUGACA